AUUCCAGCUCCAAUAGCGUAUAUUAAAGUUGUUGCAGUUAAAAAGCUCGUAGUUGGAUUUCUGGCAGGAGUGACUGACCACAAACUCUGUUUGUGAGUUGUGUCAUUCUGGCCAUCCUUGGUAAGAUCCUUUUUGGCAUUAAGUUGUCGGGAAGGGGAUGACCAUCGUUUACUGUGAAAAAAUUAGAGUGUUUAAAGCAGGCUUAUGCCGUUGAAUAUAUUAGCAUGGAAUAAUAAGAUAGGACUUUGAGUCUAUUUUGUUGGUUUGCGAGUCAAAGUAAUGAUUAAUAGGGACAGUUGGGGGUAUUCGUAUUUAACUGUCAGAGGUGAAAUUCUUGGAUUUGUUAAAGACGGGCUACUGCGAAAGCAUCUGCCAUGGAUGUUUUCAUCA
Molecule: ribosomal RNA, 390 nt
Filed under: Skeletonema sp.
Lineage: Eukaryota; Bacillariophyta; Thalassiosirophyceae; Thalassiosirales; Thalassiosiraceae
Description: partial small subunit ribosomal RNA
Rfam family: Eukaryotic small subunit ribosomal RNA
Source: RNAcentral